This is a long non-coding RNA of Sorghum bicolor (sorghum), 566 nucleotides long. RefSeq lists it as uncharacterized. The record is from RefSeq and is a predicted model, not a curated record. The transcript has 2 exons. Lineage: Eukaryota; Viridiplantae; Streptophyta; Magnoliopsida; Poales; Poaceae.
AUCACAGGCCUUUUUUCUUCUUCAACCAGUUCAGCAGCCCCAGCGUGAGCUUCUCUGACUGUCUCGUGGCGACGGCUGCCGACUACGCCAGGUGCCCUGCCCAGGUUUUCUUCGGCGAGGCGACUUCGCCGGCGACGAGGAUGCCUCGGUCAAACACUAUCAGAUUUCGGAUGCCUCCCAUCGAGGGUCUAACUCAAGACCAGGAUCAGGAUGAGGAUCCACGUGCAACUUAUCGGUGGUGUCACAGAGCUGUUAAACUUGGCUAUUUUUCUUCUGUUAUAACAGGAAUCUAUUCUCAACGAUACAGGGCAGCAACCCAUAAAACGAGUCUUGGAGCUGAUAUCGCACUAAUAGUAGCGUUUGUUUUGGGUGCUUGGACAUUACAAGCCAGCAUAGGACUUGGGUGUUAUGGCUCAAUCUUUGAACCGGAAUUUCCAAGGAGAUAGAUAAGAUACACUCUGCAUGGAGUACCAGUGGUAUUCCCGCAGCGGUAAUCCUGUGUUAGCAGAAGGUUAAAUCCCUUCUUUGUGAAUUUAUAAUCCAUGGAGGGAGUUGCACGAUGUUUA